RNAcentral lists this ribosomal RNA (344 nucleotides) under Orfelia fasciata. RNAcentral describes it as "partial 12S ribosomal RNA". The record is from RNAcentral. Lineage: Eukaryota; Metazoa; Arthropoda; Insecta; Diptera; Keroplatidae.
UUUAAAUGUAAUUAAAUAAUUUUUGAGUAGUAAUAGUUAUGUUCUUAAAACUUAAAAAAUUUGGCGGUAUUUUAAUCUACACAGAGGAGUUUGUUUUAUAAUUGAUAAUCCGCACUGAAUCUUACUUAAAAAUGUUUAGCUUGUAUAUCGUUGUCAUAAGAAUAUCUUAAAAAAGAAAAAAUAUUCUAGUUUAAUAAAAGUUUUAAAUGUCAGAUCAAGGUGCAGCUUAUAUUUAAGUAAAAAUGAACUACAAUUAAAAUUAUUAAUUAAUGAAUUAUAAAGUGAAAUUUUUAUAUGAAGGUGGAUUUGUUUGUAAAUUUUUAGAGAUUAUAAGGUUGAUUUUA